GGGCCCGUAGCUCAGCCUGGAAGAGCGGCGGGCUUUUAACCCGUAGACGUGCUGGCGGAAGUCCCGGGUUCAAAUCCCGGCGGGCCCGCCA
Molecule: transfer RNA, 91 nt
Filed under: Desulfurococcales archaeon
Lineage: Archaea; Thermoproteati; Thermoproteota; Thermoprotei; Desulfurococcales
Description: tRNA-Lys
Rfam family: tRNA
About the family: Transfer RNA (tRNA) molecules are approximately 80 nucleotides in length. Their secondary structure includes four short double-helical elements and three loops (D, anti-codon, and T loops).
Source: RNAcentral